Molecule: ribosomal RNA, 587 nt
Filed under: uncultured beta proteobacterium
Lineage: Bacteria; Pseudomonadati; Pseudomonadota; Betaproteobacteria
Description: bacterial SSU rRNA
Rfam family: Bacterial small subunit ribosomal RNA
Source: RNAcentral
CCUACGGGAGGCAGCAGUGGGGAAUUUUGGACAAUGGGGGCAACCCUGAUCCAGCCAUUCCGCGUGAGUGAAGAAGGCCUUCGGGUUGUAAAGCUCUUUCGCAAGGGAAGAAACGUUACAGUCUAAUAAACUGUGAUAAUGACGGUACCUUGAUAAGAAGCACCGGCUAACUACGUGCCAGCAGCCGCGGUAAUACGUAGGGUGCGAGCGUUAAUCGGAAUUACUGGGCGUAAAGCGUGCGCAGGCGGUUUUGUAAGUCAGAUGUGAAAUCCCCGAGCUCAACUUGGGAACUGCGUUUGAAACUACAAGGCUAGAGUAUGGUAGAGGGGGGUAGAAUUCCACGUGUAGCAGUGAAAUGCGUAGAGAUGUGGAGGAAUACCAAUGGCGAAGGCAGCCCCCUGGACUAAUACUGACGCUCAUGCACGAAAGCGUGGGGAGCAAACAGGAUUAGAUACCCUGGUAGUCCACGCCCUAAACGAUGUCUACUAGUUGUUGGGAGAGUAAAAUCUCUUAGUAACGCAGCUAACGCGUGAAGUAGACCGCCUGGGGAGUACGGUCGCAAGAUUAAAACUCAAAGGAAUUGACGG